RNAcentral lists this non-coding RNA (29 nucleotides) under Rattus norvegicus (Norway rat). Lineage: Eukaryota; Metazoa; Chordata; Mammalia; Rodentia; Muridae. The record is from RNAcentral.
UCUUCUCACAAUAUGCUUGCUAAUUACAA